GCCGACAACUCCCUUAAUAUCUGAACCCAAAGACUCAUCGGCUCCACGUCUCCUCACCUUUUCUGAAAAAUCUCCUUCUUUUGCCAACCCAAAAUGACAUCAGGAUGUCUUCUCCUAUGCGAGAUCAUACUCUCGAUCCUCCUACCACCUCUCGGCGUCUGCCUUCGUCACGGUUGCUGCACGGUGGAGGUCCUUAUAUGUUUGGUAUUGACUAUUCUGGGUUAUCUUCCCGGGAUCAUUUACGCCCUCUAUACCAUCCUUUGUGUCAAUCCAGAUAGUGAUGGUGACCGCUACGAGGCGCUUGCCUAAGAAGUAUGGUUCUGUUCUUUGUAUAAUCUGUCUUUGAUGUACUUUUCCCUAAACCUAAAGCUUCCGAUUUCAUGUGUUUGUUUCUGAAUCUGUUUAAAGUUUGAUCUUGAAGUAGUUGCUUGCAUAAUCCACCAGUUUCAGUUUUUGAAUGUGUUAAAAGAGUAUUUAUGUAUUUCAGUUCUUGCCAAAUUAUGAACUUGUUGAUGGCUGUUUAGAAGUUCA
Long non-coding RNA from Cynara cardunculus var. scolymus (artichoke), 531 nucleotides. RefSeq lists it as uncharacterized. The transcript has 2 exons. NCBI's taxonomy places the organism in Eukaryota, Viridiplantae, Streptophyta, Magnoliopsida, Asterales, Asteraceae. The record is from RefSeq and is a predicted model, not a curated record.